Molecule: ribosomal RNA, 300 nt
Filed under: uncultured bacterium
Lineage: Bacteria
Description: bacterial SSU rRNA
Rfam family: Bacterial small subunit ribosomal RNA
Source: RNAcentral
ACUCCUACGGGAGGCAGCAGUGGGGAAUAUUGCACAAUGGGGAAAGCCCAUCGAUGCAGCCAUGCCGCGUGUGUGAAGAAGGCCAAUUCGGGUUUGGUUAAAGACACUUUUCAGCGAGGAGGAAAGGGUGUGUGCUAAUACCAUACAUCUGUGACGUUACUCGCAGAAGAAGCACCGGCUAACUCCGUGCCAGCAGCCGCGGUAAUACGGAGGGUGCGAGCGUUAAUCGGAAUUACUGGGCGUAAAGCGUGCGCAGGCGGUUUGUUAAGCGAGAUGUGAAAGCCCCGGCUCAGCCUGGAA